This 387-nucleotide ribosomal RNA is filed under the name uncultured bacterium. RNAcentral's name for it is "bacterial SSU rRNA". It matches the Rfam family "Bacterial small subunit ribosomal RNA", at positions 29 to 414 of the family's 1533-position model. The record is from RNAcentral.
AUUGAACGCUGGCGGCAUGCCUUACACAUGCAAGUCGAACGGCAGCACGGGGGCAACCCUGGUGGCGAGUGGCGAACGGGUGAGUAAUGCAUCGGAACGUGCCCAGUAGUGGGGGAUAACUAGUCGAAAGAUUAGCUAAUACCGCAUACGACCUAUGGGUGGAAAGCGGGGGAUUCGCAAGAACCUCGCGCUAUCGGAGCGGCCGAUGUCUGAUUAGCUAGUUGGCGGGGUAAAAGCCCACCAAGGCUUCGAUCAGUAGCUGGUCUGAGAGGACGACCAGCCACACUGGGACUGAGACACGGCCCAGACUCCUACGGGAGGCAGCAGUGGGGAAUUUUGGACAAUGGGCGCAAGCCUGAUCCAGCCAUGCCGCGUGCGGGAAGAAGG